This is a long non-coding RNA of Equus caballus (horse), 2984 nucleotides long. The record is from Ensembl. Lineage: Eukaryota; Metazoa; Chordata; Mammalia; Perissodactyla; Equidae.
AUUGGGCCACAAUGGCCGGGCGUCGCUGUCGUGCCUCACACAGUCGGGUGGCUCCUGGGAGGGUGUGACAUUGGGCGAGGCAGCUGUCUGCAGCUCAGACCAACCCUGAAGGAGCUGACAGCCGGAGACUGUCUGCUGACUGUACUUCCUGCCUCUGGGGUGCAAGAUCCUUCCUUGAAAGGGCAUCUGGAGGUGCAUCUGCACAUCUACCAUACAUGGCCACACCUGACUGCGAGGGAGUCUGAAAAAUGUGGUCCAGCCGCCUAAGAAGAGGAGAAAGCCGAGCCUGGUGACAGCUUAGCAGGCAGAUUCACUUUGGGCAGGAGUACCAGCAGCUUUCUUGACAAUCACAUGGGGAGAGCCAGUUGGAGGAAUGAAACCUUAUAGAGACAAGAUGAGCAGAGAGGUAGAGAAAGAAAACCAACUGUGAUGAGCCCCUUGCUCCAGUGUGCCUCAAGCCACCCGUAUCUCUGGACCUUCCAGUUACGUAUUUUCAAACCUCAAAAUGAAGAGAGGAAGUUGGAGUGAGUGAACCCAGAGUUCAGACAGCUACACCUCCAGCUCCCACCUGUGCUGACCAGCUCCUUCCCUGCCUCCUGCCCACACACCUCCAUCUGACUGGCUGCCAUAUUGGGCUGGGAAGAGAGAAAGGGGCAGAAGAGGAGAGAAUAAGGAAAAGGUAUUGCCUGGUGACCUUGGCCUUCCUUGGAAUGGACAGCUGGAAUAAAUACUAUCCAGAGAGCCUGCGGCUGUGGGUCCUGUCAAGCCCACCACACCCAGCACCACAAAUGCCAGCCCCCUGCAGGAACUCUCUGAGCACUUUGUGGGUAUCCAUCUCCCAGAUGACUUUCAGCCCGGUCUUGCCCACCUGGUCUCAACCUUAACUGUUUACCUGGGCUGGUCUCUGAGCAGAAUCCAUGGCUGCCCUCAAAUCAGGUUACGGCCACAGCCUCUGGGUAUUGACUCAUUCAAAGAUUACAGCAGCAUUUCUGUGGAACAUCAGUCUCCCGGGCUCCUCUCUGCAAAGGUUUGCACAGUCAUGCUCCUUUGGGAAAUGCUGCCAGUUACAUCCCGCUCUUGGAAAUUUGCAAUGCGCAUCCACGUAAUAAAUGCUGUUGAACCAAGCAGUCCUGGAAUAAAGAAAACCUCCUUAACUCUGUUUAAGCCAAGCUUCCAAUCUUAUUUUAUGAUUGUAUCAGGUAGGAUACAGCUGCAAGUGACAGAAACUCUGACUCAAAACUGAGAUAAACAAUAAGGACAUGGGUCCUUCACAAACCAGACGCUCAGCAAGGUAAAGCAGGUUUUGGAGAUUUCUCCUCCAGUUUUUCUGCUCUGGCGUUCUCAGUGAUGGCUUCCUCAUUAGGCCGAUCAAGACGGCAGUUCCAGGCAUCACAUUCAGGGCUGACACAUGGCAGAGGAAGAAGAGAGAGCAUUUCUUCCUGAGAAGAAACUCUCCCACAAGGACCGUGACAUCCAUUCAGGUCUCAUUGGCCAGAAUCACAUCACGUGUCCACUCCUGAGUCAGUCAUUGGCAAAAAGAAUGGCGUUUCCCUCUGACCAUUCGCCCUGAAGCUGGAGGUGAGUCAGCUUCCCUGAAGCAGGUGGCUGCGUGGAGGUGGAAUAUAUUCCUGAACAAAACUGGAGCUCUGUUGGGAAGGCAGCGCAGAAUGGGCAGGCAGUCAACAGUGUCCACUCCAACUGCAGACUCCCUUUCACACUUAACACCCUGUGAUGGCCAAUUCUAUGUGUCCACUUGACUGGUCCGCAGGGUGCCCAGAAAUUUGCUCAAACAUUAUUCCGGGCGUGUCUGUGACGGUGUCUCUGGAUGAGAUUAACAUCUGAAUCGGUAGACUGACUAAAGCGCAUUGCCUCCCCAAUGUGGGUGAGCUCAUCCAAUCCGCUGAAGACCUGAAGAGAAUGAAAAGACUGAGAAGUGAACUCCUCCUGCCUGACUACCUGAGCGAUGACACUGGUUUCUCCCAGUGUUUGAACUUUAAACAUCAGCUCUUCUUGGGUCUCCAGCUUGCUGACUGCAGAUCUUGGGACUUAUCAGCCUCCACUUCCUGAGAAUAAGUCUUUUCUUUUUACACAUAUAUACACAUAUGUGUAUGUGUGUGCAUGUUGUUGUUGUUCCUCUUUGAGACUUAGCACAAUAUGUGGUACUUGACUAGUGCUCAACAAAUGCUCGCGAAUGACUGGCUGACUGAUCUUCAUACCUAAGGAAACUGAAAUUCCGACAGGGUGAAGUGAGAAGCACAAUAUCACGUAGAAAGGAAGUGCUAGAACUUGGAACCUGGGUCUCCUGACUUCUGAAAUCAGGAGCUCUGCAUGACACCUAGAGGUUGCAUCCCACCAUGUGACAGCAUUCCUGUUACUCAGGUCAACAAACUUUUAUUGAACACCUAUUAUGUGCCAGACACUCUUCUGGGGAUCCAUGAUGAAGAAGACACAAUCCCUGCCCUCAAGGUAACAGAUUGCCUUCCCCUGGACCAAAGCCUCCAGCUGGCCUCCCUGCAUCCAGGCUUCUGCUCCUCCCAUCCAUCCCUCAGGGCACCACCAGAAUGACUUCUUGGUUUACAUGCUUCAAAAGCGAUGGCUUCCUGGGAAUAAUGUGCACACUCCUGGCCUUCCAUUGUGGUAACCCAUCCAUAAUCUAACUUCUCUUACCCACACAGACUCACAUUUGACCACUGGCCAACUCAACCUUUCUCACUGUGGGGACAAGACUGCUCACUGCCCCACAAACCACACAGCAGACUUCUUUCCAUCUCCACACCUUUGCUCCUUUGGUGCCUCCCAGCUGACAAACUUUCAUCACUUCUCAACUUGUAACUGGCAUGACCUACUUCAUUAGCUUGGAGUACAAGCAUAUUCACUUUUUCUUCCUCAAUUAAACCCUUGGAGGUCUUACAUGUUUCUAUUAGAAUUAUAUUUCCAUCUUUAUGAUCUCCUAAAAUUUGUACAAGAGUCCCACGAGCUUUCUA